CUCUAUCUAUCUAUGUCCGUGUGAAUUCAAAGUUGCAGAGAGUUGCAGAGAGUUGCGAAAAACGACGGCCAUGUCCGGUCCACGUCUAGACCUACGCACAAGGGAGCAAGUUAUCAAGCAGUCAACUGCAUCGUUCUUCUCGAGCUUUUACACAUUUCUCUUUCUAUCCCUUCUGCUUUUCUCAUUCCGUACUACUGUCGAGAACGCAACCCUACACGUCACCUCUUUCAUCGAUAGGGAUCCCUCUCUCAAAGCCCUUUUAUCCCGUCUCGAUCUUGCUGGCAAGAAUGCCAGAUCUUCCGAAGGACUUAGAUCUCCGGCUGGCGUUAACAGACGCCGCCGGCCUUUUCUUCACCUCAGCCGUGUCGGAACCCUAGACGAUGAUUUCUUCUCCGGAGAAAGCGAUGACGAUCGGAGUCUCUUUGGGAUGGGUCGUCGUUCCCCUGUUAAUGGUAGUUCUGUGAAUCUCAGCCAUUUUUUUAGUGGCGACGGCAAAUUAGGGUUAUCGGAUUCUGAGGAGAGAUACGGGUUUAGGCUUUCGGAAGUUGUUGGCUCUGGAUUCCUUUUCAAGGCGGAGGGGUUGUCGUUGCCGGAUGACGGUGACGGAGAUGGUAAUGUUGAAGGAACUGAAAGAGCGGCUUUGGACAAGGGAGAGGAAGUCGACCGUCCUGCGGAUUUUCAGUUAUUUAUCAAGGGUAUCCAUCUCGGUCGUCGCGAUGCUGCGGCCUUGUUCUUUCUGGUGAGUUUCUUAUCUGCAGCAUAUGGUUGGGUAAUUCUGGGCUAUUUGGUUACGCAUUCUUGCAUUCUCGGUAUUGUGUUCUAUACUGUCGUCAACGACCAUUUGGGAAGGUAUCAGUCGUUUAGUAGAACGGUUAACGCUGGUUCGCGUUUGGGCAUUCGGAGGCUUUCUGGGUUUAUACUCAUGAGAUGGGCUGUUAGAGAUGCGUUGACCCAACUCCUUGGUUUGUGGUUUUUUGGUGAAAUUGAGGAUCAGUACUCUUUCUUUAAACUGUUUGUUCGAUUGAAACUCAUGCCUUUCUCCAUUACUUCUCCGUGGAUUCGAGGGUUUGAGACUGAGAUCUCAGGGUUUCUGUUUACAUGGUUUUUGUUGGAUGUUAUUGUGGCUUUCGUUCUUGCGUUGGAUUGUUGGGUUGCAAUUAUGGACGCUAGGAGGAGUGGCAGGGAAGUCGUGAAGGAAGGAUGCCACUUAAUUUCUACAAUGUUAAACCAGGCCGUCCAAAUAAAAUGCUAUGAAGCCAUCCUUUGUGGGCCAUUUGUGAGAUGGGUUCUAACUCGGAUCUGUGGGAAAUUGUUAGCCUCAUUUUUUCAGUCGGUAGUGGAGGUUUAUUUUAUGGUGGCAUGGUUGAUAUUCUACUUCGCUGCGAGGUGUAAGGAUGCAAAUCCAGACGGUAGGAGGUUCACUCGGAGAAAUUUGGAGGAUUACAUUGAUGGUCAUAGAUGAUACCACUGCUAAGUGGGUGACUGUUCAGUAGGAGGCCUCAACUGUAACUGUAAAAAUACUGGAACUUCGAAGGGAUAAUUUUUCUUAAUUAUAGAGGAUUCUCUUACUUUUCAUCCAUUGCAGCAAUAUGAGCAACCCAGCUCACAGACACCUUGGGGGGAGGAGGGGGGGGGGGGGGGAGAUGAAAAUAAUGCAGUUCCUAGUUGCAAAACCAUUCAUCAACACAAAGCUCGUUGCCUGAAUUAAGCACAAUUUUAAGGAGAGAAAAUCACCCAAUUAUACUGUUUCUUAUGGACAAAGUGCUCUUUCUAGGUCAUGCCAGAAUGGUUACAAAAUGCAAUCGGAAUUGAUAAACUCCUGUGAUAUUUAGUGCUUAUCUGGUAUAUUGCAGGUGGUAGCACAAUUGGCUGCUUUAUGAAUGCAAGGAAAA
This is an RNA transcript of Telopea speciosissima, 1892 nucleotides long. RefSeq lists it as uncharacterized. NCBI's taxonomy places the organism in Eukaryota, Viridiplantae, Streptophyta, Magnoliopsida, Proteales, Proteaceae. The transcript has 2 exons. The record is from RefSeq and is a predicted model, not a curated record.